CCUACGGGAGGCAGCAGUAGGGAAUCUUUCACAAUGGGCGAAAGCCUGAUGGAGCAACGUCGCGUGCAGGAUGAAGGCCCUCGGGUUGUUAACCGCCUUUAUAAGCGAGAAAUAUGAUGGCAACUUAUGAAUAAGGAUCGGCUAACUACGUGCCAGCAGCCGCGGUCAUACGUAGGAUCCGAGCAUUAUCCGGAGUGACUGGGUGUAAAGAGUUGUGUUGGUGGCAUAAUAAGUAGCUAGUGAAAUCUGGUGGCUCAACCAUUCGGACUAUUAGCUAAACUGUUUAGCUCGAGACCGUUAGAGGUAAGUGGAAUUUCUGGUGUAGGGGUGAAAUCCGUAGAUAUUAGAAAGAACGCCGAUAGCGUAGGCAGGUUACUGGAGCGGUUCUGACGCUGAGGCACGAAGGCGUAGGGAGCGAACGGGAUUAGAUACCCGUGUAGUC
RNAcentral lists this ribosomal RNA (442 nucleotides) under uncultured bacterium. Its description in RNAcentral is "partial 16S ribosomal RNA". It matches the Rfam family "Bacterial small subunit ribosomal RNA", at positions 338 to 795 of the family's 1533-position model. The record is from RNAcentral.